ACCGCUGCAGCUCUCGGUAGAGCACCAGGUACUUAACCCGGAGGUUCGGGGACGACGGUCCCUCGGUUCGACUCCCGACAGCGGUACCA
Molecule: transfer RNA, 89 nt
Filed under: Stenotrophomonas sp.
Lineage: Bacteria; Pseudomonadati; Pseudomonadota; Gammaproteobacteria; Lysobacterales; Lysobacteraceae
Description: tRNA-Lys
Source: RNAcentral